This is a non-coding RNA of Paramisgurnus dabryanus, 280 nucleotides long. The record is from RefSeq and is a predicted model, not a curated record. Lineage: Eukaryota; Metazoa; Chordata; Actinopteri; Cypriniformes; Cobitidae.
AGUAAAGUCCUUUUAGCAUUGGAACAGGGACGGCUAGGAGAAUACAAAGGGAAGAGCCUGGAUGAAAUUCAGCUUGAUGUGACAGAGACCAUUGACAUGGGCAUGGAUGAGUGUUCGCAAGAGGAUGACAUUAAUCCAGAAGCACAGGAGACCGAAGUUGAGGACAAUGUGACAUCCAUGCAAGAAGCACAAGAGACCGAAGUUGAGGACAAUGUGACAUCCAUUCAAGAACCUACUUCCACAAUACCUUCCACAGUUCAUCACCAGAGGAAGGCCCCUA